GUUCUGAGAGGACAGGCUGCUGAUGCUGCUGGGAACAGGUCACCAGACCCUUCUCAGUUCUGUUUUCUCUGGGCUGGCCAAGGCUGCAGACAGGAUACCUUCCACAGCACACAGAAGAGUGUUAGUUAGCGUGUUGUCAUUGCCGUGGAACGCAUGAGGCUGCUAAGGUUGAAGGAGAAAACGUACACUUACCGAGUAGUUUGGAGGACAGGGAUUUGUGACUUUCCUUGGGCCGAUUCACCUCAUGGUGGGUGGGCACUCUGGCUACAACCAUCAAGUGACCAGACCAGAAGCAGAGAGGGCUGGGCUGGGGCUAAACUCAAGUUACAGUCCUUUACUCAGGAACUACUUCCAGAGAGCAUAACUCUGGGGGGCCGGAGGAUCUCCCCUAACCCACACAUCUAAGGGUUUCCAUGAUUUCCUCAUAGCAUCACCCUGCACAAUACCUCUUCAGUCACAAUGCAGCACACAAUUAAACGGCAUUGAUGCCACACAGCAGCAAUACGUGCCACUUAAAACAAGCCACUCUGAGCAAAUGACUACUUUGAAUGCAGCGGACAGAAGAGUAUUCCUGAGCACCCCAUUCACCCAGAAGCAGCAUGUGUCUCAGGGAAUCUGGAGCUCGUCUGUUUGCGAAGUUUGGCUGGCCACUGAGCUUCAGGACCCUUCCUGUCCUACCCGUGUGGUUCCACACCAGCACUGUGCCGCAGACUUGUGCCUGGCCCUGACAUUGGUGCCGCAAUCUGAACUCAGACUCUCAUGCUUUCACGUCAGGUACCAUACCAACCCAACCGCCUUCCUAAACCAUGUCAUUGUGUCUCACACCUGCAUGAUUCACAUUCACACCAUGUGAGGUGUUCUAAGCUGCCCAGAACUGGCUUGCAGGGCUCAGGACAGGAAAAGCUUGGGUGCAGCCUCCAGUUUUAUCCCCCCAGGUCUCACAACUAACUCCUUGUAAAAAGAGGGACAACUGUCCUCUCACAUCUGUCCCUUGCUUGGGAUCUUCUCAGAGUGCUUGGUGUAGCCAUGGUCCUGUGCAUCUGUACUUGGGGAGUUCAGAAGCACCCAAGUCCUAGAUUCCUCUUCAUCUGCAUCCCUGUUUUCAUUUGCCCCUUGGUUGCCAGGAGAGUACAUGUGGCCCCUGACACUACACAAACUCACCUCUCCACCCAAUUAGCUCUGACCACUGCCAGCUCUUAGACUGGAAGUCUUGGGUCAUUUUUGAGGUUUUUCUUUUUCUCUGGUGUUAAGAAUGCCACAGGACUGUUAUAAUGCUACAAAAAUUUUACAUCUCCUUUAGUCUUUUAAAAUUAUUUCAUAAUAGAAACAGUCAUUAAGUCUUCCAACCAAAAAAAAAAAAGCCCAGGACCAGAUGGGUUUAGUGCAGAGUUCUAUCUGAUCUUCAAAGAAGACCUAAUACCAAUACUCUUCAUACUAUUCCACAAAAUAGAAACAGAAAGAACACUACCCAGGUCAUUCUAUGAAGCCACAGUUACACUGCGUAUUCCCCCUUAGAGAUGGAAUGGAUUCUGUCCAAUCAGGAACCUGUCACAAUUUCCUUUCAUAAAGGACUUCAUAAGAGAU
Molecule: long non-coding RNA, 1584 nt
Filed under: Mus musculus (house mouse)
Lineage: Eukaryota; Metazoa; Chordata; Mammalia; Rodentia; Muridae
Description: RIKEN cDNA A530001N23 gene
Source: RNAcentral